Long non-coding RNA from Raphanus sativus (radish), 2176 nucleotides. RefSeq lists it as uncharacterized. Lineage: Eukaryota; Viridiplantae; Streptophyta; Magnoliopsida; Brassicales; Brassicaceae. The transcript is spliced from 2 exons. The record is from RefSeq and is a predicted model, not a curated record.
UCGGUGUACCUUCCCAUUAAUCAACAACAUAUCAACCCCAAUAUCUUUCUCCUUUCUUAACAUUUCAAGCUUGCCAAAAUUGUUGUAGCCUAGUUUGAACAUCUCUACACUGAUUUGUCUUUAACUCCGAGCAAUGAAACUGGAAAUUCGACAAUGAUUGAAUUGGAAAAAGUAAAGGGAGUAUCGUCUGAACUCUCACACCAUCUAUACAUCUUUAUAUAUAAAGUAUAGUUCCCUCUCUCCAGGGCCCUCCACAUCAGAUGCCAGCGCAACAAUUCGAGCUCUGCCAUGCCGCCACGUGUCCUGUUAUUUAAAACUCAGCGAUUCAUAAUUUUGUCUACCAUCUGGGCUUUGUCUGAAAAUUGGACUUAAGUUUGUAUUUCGUUUUCAGCCCAGCGACCACUUUGCUCUGCGCUAACCCCAAUUCGUGUGGGUGAAAAGGGUUUGUUCUUCGGCAUAGACGGUGACUGUCGAGAUUUGUAGCCAUUUCUAUAAUGGAUCGCGUUACGUUUUCCAUUGAUUCAACUUCAUUAAGGAGAUCUUAACUAUUUCAAUACACUGCAACCAAGAUCAGUCAUUCAAUGAAUCUUAUCCCUCCUCCAAGUAGUAGAUCUCCACCUAUAAAAAAAUUCAGACCCAUCCCUUGAGAAUCAUUCUCACGCUUCCAAAAGCUUUUGUAAAUUUCGUCUCUCUGAUUCGAGAGUUUCCCGUGUUGCUCGGAAUUGUUAUGUUGCUCGAUCUUACCAGAGCAUUCGGAUCUAGAUCUGGCGGGGUUGGGCGGUUCCAGUAAGCAACAUAGCUUGGAUCGCUUCAUAUCGGUGGUGGCAACGACAACUAACAAAGCCAACUCCCGAGAAUGCUGGUGGUUUCAUUGAUUAAGAUUCCGCCUACACAAGCAGUGGAGCUUCUCUAUUUGAGUGAUUCGUCGUCUUCCUAAGCGGUGAACAACAGUUUAGAUCCACCGCCGCUUCACCUUACCGGACAUACUUCCCUUCUAACUCAGCCAUCUUGGAUCCUUCUCGGUGAUUGCUGAUGAGUUGCAGCAAAACGGUAACGUCUCCGGUGAAAUUAUUACUAGAAGUUGGGUACCUUCUAACUCCGACUCUAAUCUGGAUAGAGUAAAAAAAUAAUAGAAAACUAAUAACUUUAUACAAACGCUGAAAAUGGAUGCUUUUCUGAUUAUCAGGUAUGCAACACCUGUAACAAAUGACUGGUGAGUGUCUCUGCAAGGAUUUUGGAUGAGUUUUGUUUCUUUUUUGUCUUUUUUGGAUGGAUUUUGUUAAAUACGCAUAGCGUGCAUUCGUAAUUCCAAGUGCUUCACAUUUACUUUCUCAAAACUAAUUAAUUUCUAAUAAGUUUUGUUUACGAGUUCAUGUUUCCAAACAGCUUUGUUUCUACUUUCUAUUUAUAUAUCCCUAUUUAAACGUGUCAUAAGUGGAUGGUCUGACUCAAAGAUAAUAUAAUGGUUAUAUACCCUCAAGAAUGAUAUGCUGAAACCAGAGACUCUACUUAGAUCGCUUUCUGCAAAUCCCAAAUUGAGUGUACCAUCCUAGUGAUGUAGGUGCUAGCCUUUGUGUAUUGAUGGGCUUGCCAUCGAGCUUCAUAAAAGACUAGAAAGCUUAUGUCUGGAAACCAAGGUUGUUUUAUCCAUGUCGCAAUCAGAUCUAUGUCUCUGCAGAGCAUAAUCAAUAUGCUAACGCAAGAAACAGGGAAGGAUGAUAUAAAGUUGGGCAUAUCCGAAGGACUCUUUCACAUGAAUUUUUUGAGAAGAUGGUGAAGGAUAGAUAAUGAAUCUGUAGGAAAGUGAAGGCCAAGGGUUUAAGAAACAAGUAGCGAGAAAGAAAGAGAAGCGUACAUAGCUUAGUGGAUGUCAGACUGAUCAAACUUUAGAGUAAGCACCAAGGAAGAAGCCUAUGGAAGAUAAUAUAACAAAUACUUUCUGAGACAAAAUGGUCAGAACAUCACAAACAAAUAAUUGGUUUUAGGUUUGAGAUAGCUUCUUGACUAUAAAUGUUAUGCUCCACAACUUGGGCUGUAUUUCACCGAUAGUCGGAUGCUCCAUUCAUAUGCUAAAAUGAAUUCAGAUUUUAGUUUCUUUAAAGUAUUCAGAAGUUUGUGGUUGAAUCAGUUUAUUUGGCUUUGUUUCAUUUGAAUUAAAUAAAUAAAUUUUUGGCCU